UGAUACGUCUUACGAAUUGCUGGACUGCCUC
This 31-nucleotide non-coding RNA is filed under the name Mus musculus (house mouse). Lineage: Eukaryota; Metazoa; Chordata; Mammalia; Rodentia; Muridae. The record is from RNAcentral.